AUGGUGGUCGACGCCUUGGCCGCCAUCUUGGAUAAGGCCAAGGUGGCAGGCCACAUUAAGGGGAUAGUCCCGCAUCUUGUUGGGGAGCACGGGAUCUCCCUUCUCCAGUAUGCGGAUUGCACCAUCAUCAUGGUGGAGGGCUCGGAGAGUGAUAUCUCGAACCUCAAGUUCCUUCUGUUGUGCUUCCAACAGAUGUGUGGCCUCAAGGUCAACUUUGACAAGAGCGAGGUGAUGGUCUUGGGAUACUCCCAAGACGAACGCCAGAGUAUAGCGGAUCGGCUUAACUGCCAGCUUGGGAGCUUCCCCAUGACUUAUCUAGGGAUACCCAUUAGUGACUCUAGGCUCACGGUGGCUGAACUGCGCCCCACGGUGGGGAAGCUUCAGCACCGUAUCGAGCCUUGGCAAGCUUGGUGGCUCUCCAAAGCAGCCUGUGCGGUGCUCAUCAACUCAUCCCUCUCUAGCCUACUCUUGUUCAUCAUGAGCUUCUACAGCCUUUCGGAGACGCUUCAUCACGAGAUCGCCACUGUUCAGGGACGUUUCUUUUGGGCCGGUGAGGGAGACAAG
This 564-nucleotide ribosomal RNA is filed under the name Triticum aestivum (bread wheat). RNAcentral describes it as "partial small subunit ribosomal RNA". The record is from RNAcentral. Lineage: Eukaryota; Viridiplantae; Streptophyta; Magnoliopsida; Poales; Poaceae.